RNAcentral lists this transfer RNA (74 nucleotides) under Candidatus Jorgensenbacteria bacterium. Its description in RNAcentral is "tRNA-Pro". It matches the Rfam family "tRNA". Rfam says of the family: Transfer RNA (tRNA) molecules are approximately 80 nucleotides in length. Their secondary structure includes four short double-helical elements and three loops (D, anti-codon, and T loops). Further hydrogen bonds mediate the characteristic L-shaped molecular structure. tRNAs have two regions of fundamental functional importance: the anti-codon, which is responsible for specific mRNA codon recognition, and the 3' end, to which the tRNAs corresponding amino acid is attached (by aminoacyl-tRNA synthetases). tRNAs cope with the degeneracy of the genetic code in two manners: having more than one tRNA (with a specific anti-codon) for a particular amino acid; and 'wobble' base-pairing, i.e. permitting non-standard base-pairing at the 3rd anti-codon position. Lineage: Bacteria; Candidatus Joergenseniibacteriota. The record is from RNAcentral.
CGGGCUGUAGUGUAAUGGCAGCACGAGUCCUUCGGGAGGAUUUAGUCCGGGUUCAAAUCCCGGCAGCCCGACAA